Molecule: long non-coding RNA, 367 nt
Filed under: Homo sapiens (human)
Lineage: Eukaryota; Metazoa; Chordata; Mammalia; Primates; Hominidae
Description: novel transcript
Source: RNAcentral
CAGGCGCUCUGCCUCCAGCAAGAGGUGGCUCUGGGGGACAGCUCUCCAUGGGGGACAGCUCUCCAUGGGCUUGGACACCCGUGCUCCCAGACAACAGCUUCUGCCGUGCUCCCAGAUGAGAGCCAGAGCCCUGCCUAUCGGGAGGCCACACUCAUGCCCAAGACUUCUAGGCCUCAGCAGUGCUCCCAAGGGUGUGGCACCAGGUGAAGCAGGGCAGGUGGAAUGCAGGAGCAGGCAGGAAAACCCAGCUCUUCCAAGUCAGACACUGGAGAGCUCUGCAGACACGAAGACAAUGCCAUGCCUCCCCCUAAAUGCUUUUUGUUUUGGAAAAUAUAGCUGUUCGUCAUAAGGUAUUUACGUUGACGUA